This is an RNA transcript of Saccostrea cuccullata (small rock oyster), 575 nucleotides long. RefSeq lists it as uncharacterized. NCBI's taxonomy places the organism in Eukaryota, Metazoa, Mollusca, Bivalvia, Ostreida, Ostreidae. The record is from RefSeq and is a predicted model, not a curated record. The transcript is spliced from 4 exons.
GUACAUAUAUAUAAUUAUAAACCAAGACCAAAGUACCUGUGAAUUUUUACCCCUCCCCCAACUCCCCAAGAUCAAUUUAAUUGUAUAUUAUGUAUAUUCGUUGCUUUUUUCUUCAUGAAAAUGAAAUAAGAAGUGCAAUAUCCAUAAAAUUGUAUGAAGUUUUGAAGACAUAAACGUCAAUUAAAGCAUUUUUUUAUUUUUCAAGUUUUCACAAAAAGUGGGUGGGAAUGGUGACGUACAUUUCUUUCAUGCGGACUUUUGAACAAAACGAAGUGCGACAGUUGUUGCGAGAAUUUCAGCUACGCCAAGGAUAAGGGUUACAUGAUAAUUUUUGGGAACUGCAAUCAUUCGCUUUGUGCUGAGUGUUUUGGACAGGCAACAAGAACACAUGGAUCUGUUGCGUGCUUUGUGAAAUCUUGUAAAAAAGAAUCACCUCUAUCUGACCUGGUUAAGGUGAAUUGUGUGACUCGUAAGAUAUCCUGUGUAUUCUGCAAUGAAACUCUGGAUGGUUGGGUAAGCAUUUUAGACGUUCAUUUGUUCAUACAAAAUGCGAUUUAGAGACACUCAUGCAUGGA